AGGAGCGACUGGAGUUGAUCGGCUGGGCGCUCAGGCAACUGAACUUCUGAGAAAUGGAGGCUACAAUACCUAGUUUGCCAAACAGGAGAAGACUACAAUUCCCAGAAGGAACUGCGACCAACAUUGGUCCGUGCUCAUACUUUGCAUCAUGGGACUUGUAGUCAUCACCAGCUUGCGCUGAUUCUAACAGGACCUGGACAACUACCCUCAAUUGGUAACAUAUUUUGGUGAGCCAGCCAGAAGGUGGGAUCCUUGAUGGACAGUGCCUAAGCAUGGAGGCAACUGCAGGUUUCUGGCCAGGGCCACUCUCUGGUGAAACUAAAAGGUCCAUGUGGAAGCACCUGACUGCCACCACCUGGUUCAGGAUCAAGUCUGUGAUACCUGAAGCCUCAGACCUGGAACCUGAAGUUUCCUUCAGCCACUACACCUGUGAACCUGUGGAAGACCUGAAGUGCCUGUUUAGAAGACAGCCAAAAGAUAAGUAAAUGCCUACCAACUUUCCUUGGU
RNAcentral lists this long non-coding RNA (507 nucleotides) under Homo sapiens (human). RNAcentral describes it as "HSALNT0139509". Lineage: Eukaryota; Metazoa; Chordata; Mammalia; Primates; Hominidae. The record is from RNAcentral.